This 28-nucleotide small RNA is filed under the name Bombyx mori (domestic silkworm). RNAcentral's name for it is "ovarian small RNA-38189". Lineage: Eukaryota; Metazoa; Arthropoda; Insecta; Lepidoptera; Bombycidae. The record is from RNAcentral.
UUGUUGCAGGCAUGGGCGCGUACAGCAC